RNAcentral lists this transfer RNA (87 nucleotides) under Chloroflexi bacterium RBG_16_68_14. Its description in RNAcentral is "tRNA-Leu". It matches the Rfam family "tRNA". Rfam says of the family: Transfer RNA (tRNA) molecules are approximately 80 nucleotides in length. Their secondary structure includes four short double-helical elements and three loops (D, anti-codon, and T loops). Further hydrogen bonds mediate the characteristic L-shaped molecular structure. tRNAs have two regions of fundamental functional importance: the anti-codon, which is responsible for specific mRNA codon recognition, and the 3' end, to which the tRNAs corresponding amino acid is attached (by aminoacyl-tRNA synthetases). tRNAs cope with the degeneracy of the genetic code in two manners: having more than one tRNA (with a specific anti-codon) for a particular amino acid; and 'wobble' base-pairing, i.e. permitting non-standard base-pairing at the 3rd anti-codon position. The record is from RNAcentral. Lineage: Bacteria; Bacillati; Chloroflexota.
GCCGAAGUGGCGGAACUGGUAGACGCGCUACGUUCAGGGCGUAGUGCCCGUAAGGGCGUGUGGGUUCAAAUCCCACCUUCGGCACCA